GGAGGGGUGGCGGAAUUGGUAGACGCGCUACUUUGAGGGGGUAGUGUCAAUUGUGACGUGUGAGUUCGAGUCUCAUCCUCUUCACGA
This 87-nucleotide transfer RNA is filed under the name gut metagenome. Its description in RNAcentral is "tRNA-Leu". It matches the Rfam family "tRNA". From Rfam's summary of the family: Transfer RNA (tRNA) molecules are approximately 80 nucleotides in length. Their secondary structure includes four short double-helical elements and three loops (D, anti-codon, and T loops). The record is from RNAcentral.